Molecule: long non-coding RNA, 249 nt
Filed under: Lathyrus oleraceus (garden pea)
Lineage: Eukaryota; Viridiplantae; Streptophyta; Magnoliopsida; Fabales; Fabaceae
Description: Pisum sativum (pea) long non-coding RNA (PSAT_LNC031608)
Source: RNAcentral
AUUACCUUUUUUUCUUUCAUAGAAAGAUUCCACCGAUGUUCCCAUUCUUGAAAAUUCCUUUUAACUUGCUUUAACUGGUCUUUAAGGGAAAGUAAGCAAUGACCAACUUGAUUCAGGCACACUUUAACUCUCUUUAUUUUAUUCUCUUCAUUUUCAUCCUUUUAUUCACUCCCCUCGAGUUGUGUCUCCUUUCACCCGAGUUCCCACUUCAAAUUAUUCUUUUCUUCAGCGACAUGAUGAAGGUUCGAC